AUGCUUAGUGUGGCUCUACCAUAUAAGGUUGUUUUUGAGCGAUUAAAGAAGGUUGAGAAGCAAUACGAGAGUCUCCCUUCUAAGGAAGAAUGGGCUUUUGCUAUUGAUGUUGUAGAAAGGCUGCGGCUGUUCUUUGAAAUCACUGAAAUGUUUUCCGGGACUGAUUAUGUAACUGCCAACAUCUAUUUUCUCAAGAUUUGUGAAAUUAAAAUGAAUAUGAGGCAAUGGUCAACUUGCGGUAAUGAGGUGAUACAAGCCAUGACAUUUAGCAUGGAAGAUAAAUUUAACAAGUAUUGGACUGAUAUUCAAGGUCUAAUGGGAAUGGCUACACUUCUUGAUCCUCAGUACAAAAAUGAAAUGUUACUUGUUUGCUUUGCUAUGUUGCAUGGUAUUAGUCCUUCUAGUACAGAAUGUGAGGACCAUGUUAAUGGAAUAAUUGCCAAGAUAUGCACAUUGUUAGAGGAGUACAAUCUUGAGAGUGAUGAUGAUCAUGGACAAUCAUCUUCCUCAUUCUCUUCUCUGGAAGCUCCAGCCCUUAUGUCACUCUUCAAUGCACGUGUUGCUCAAAAGAGGCCAGCAUCUUUUAGGAUGAAAUCUGAACUAGACCGUUACUUGGAAGAUGAGCUAGUUCCAUUGUCCAAAGAUAAGUUCAGUGUGUUAGAUUGGUGGAAAGUUUCUGGAACACGCUAUCCAACUUUGAGGCUGCUAGCAUGUGAUGUUUUUGCAACUCCGGUCAGCACGGUUGCCUCAGAAUCAGCAUUCAGCACAAGUGGUAGAGUUCUAAGUGAUCACCGUAGUCGUCUUACCCCUGAAAUCUUAGAGGCCUUGAUGUGUUCACAAGAUUGGAUAAGAAACAAAUAUAAA
This 864-nucleotide ribosomal RNA is filed under the name Triticum aestivum (bread wheat). RNAcentral describes it as "partial small subunit ribosomal RNA". The record is from RNAcentral. Lineage: Eukaryota; Viridiplantae; Streptophyta; Magnoliopsida; Poales; Poaceae.